GUGGCGAACGGGUGAGUAACACGUGGGUAACCUGCCCAGAAGUAGGGGAUAACACCUGGAAACAGAUGCUAAUACCGUAUAACAGAGAAAACCGCAUGGUUUUCUUUUAAAAGAUGGCUCUGCUAUCACUUCUGGAUGGACCCGCGGCGUAUUAGCUAGUUGGUGAGGUAAAGGCUCACCAAGGCAGUGAUACGUAGCCGACCUGAGAGGGUAAUCGGCCACAUUGGGACUGAGACACGGCCCAGACUCCUACGGGAGGCAGCAGUAGGGAAUCUUCCACAAUGGACGCAAGUCUGAUGGAGCAACGCCGCGUGAGUGAAGAAGGGUUUCGGCUCGUAAAGCUCUGUUGUUAAAGAAGAACGUGGGUAAGAGUAACUGUUUACCCAGUGACGGUAUUUAACCAGAAAGCCACGGCUAACUACGUGCCAGCAGCCGCGGUAAUACGUAGGUGGCAAGCGUUAUCCGGAUUUAUUGGGCGUAAAGCGAGCGCAGGCGGUCUUUUAAGUCUAAUGUGAAAGCCUUCGGCUCAACCGAAGAAGUGCAUUGGAAACUGGGAGACUUGAGUGCAGAAGAGGACAGUGGAACUCCAUGUGUAGCGUGAAAUGCGUAGAUAUAUGGAAGAACACCAGUGGCGAAGGCGGCUGUCUGGUCUGCAACUGACGCUGAGGCUCGAAAGCAUGGGUAGCGAACAGGAUUAGAUACCCUGGUAGUCCAUGCCGUAAACGAUGAUUACUAAGUGUUGGAGGGUUUCCGCCCUUCAGUGCUGCAGCUAACGCAUUAAGUAAUCCGCCUGGGGAGUACGACCGCAAGGUUGAAACUCAAAAGAAUUGACGGGGGCCCGCACAAGCGGUGGAGCAUGUGGUUUAAUUCGAAGCUACGCGAAGAACCUUACCAGGUCUUGACAUCUUCUGACAGUCUAAGAGAUUAGAGGUUCCCUUCGGGGACAGAAUGACAGGUGGUGCAUGGUUGUCGUCAGCUCGUGUCGUGAGAUGUUGGGUUAAGUCCCGCAACGAGCGCAACCCUUAUUACUAGUUGCCAGCAUUAAGUUGGGCACUCUAGUGAGACUGCCGGUGACAAACCGGAGGAAGGUGGGGACGACGUCAAAUCAUCAUGCCCCUUAUGACCUGGGCUACACACGUGCUACAAUGGAUGGUACAACGAGUCGCGAGACCGCGAGGUUAAGCUAAUCUCUUAAAACCAUUCUCAGUUCGGACUGUAGGCUGCAACUCGCCUACACGAAGUCGGAAUCGCUAGUAAUCGCGGAUCAGCAUGCCGCGGUGAAUACGUUCCCGGGCCUUGUACACACCGCCCGUCACACCAUGAGAGUUUGUAACACCCAAAGCCGGUGGGGUAACCUUUUAGGAGCUAGCCGUCUAAGGUG
RNAcentral lists this ribosomal RNA (1381 nucleotides) under Pediococcus pentosaceus. Its description in RNAcentral is "bacterial SSU rRNA". It matches the Rfam family "Bacterial small subunit ribosomal RNA", at positions 95 to 1464 of the family's 1533-position model. Lineage: Bacteria; Bacillati; Bacillota; Bacilli; Lactobacillales; Lactobacillaceae. The record is from RNAcentral.